UACGUAGGGGGCAAGCGUUGUCCGGAUUUAUUGGGCGUAAAGAGCGUGUAGGCGGCUUGGUAGGUCUCGCGUCAAAACCUGAGGCUCAACCUCAGUUCGCGUGGGAAACCACCUAGCUAGAGUCCGGAAGAGGAGAACGGAAUUCCCAGCGUAGCGGUGAAAUGCGCAGAUAUUGGGAAGAACACCAGUGGCGAAGGCGGUUCUCUGGAACGGUACUGACGCUGAGACGCGAAAGCGUGGGGAGCGAACAGG
This 252-nucleotide ribosomal RNA is filed under the name uncultured bacterium. RNAcentral's name for it is "partial 16S ribosomal RNA". It matches the Rfam family "Bacterial small subunit ribosomal RNA", at positions 524 to 776 of the family's 1533-position model. The record is from RNAcentral.